This 497-nucleotide ribosomal RNA is filed under the name uncultured bacterium. RNAcentral's name for it is "bacterial SSU rRNA". It matches the Rfam family "Bacterial small subunit ribosomal RNA", at positions 8 to 507 of the family's 1533-position model. The record is from RNAcentral.
AGAGUUUGAUCAUGGCUCAGGAUGAACGCUAGCGGGAGGCCUAACACAUGCAAGCCGAGCGGUAUAGAAUCUUCGGAUUUUAGAGAGCGGCGUACGGGUGCGGAACACGUGUGCAACCUACCUUUAUCUGGAGGAUAGCCUUUCGAAAGGAAGAUUAAUACUCCAUAAUAUAUUGAUUGGCAUCAAUUAAUAUUGAAAGCUCCGGCGGAUAGAGAUGGGCACGCGCAAGAUUAGUUAGUUGGUGAGGUAACGGCUCACCAAGACGAUGAUCUUUAGGGGGCCUGAGAGGGUGAUCCCCACACUGGUACUGAGACACGGACCAGACUCCUACGGGAGGCAGCAGUGAGGAAUAUUGGACAAUGGGUGCAAGCCUGAUCCAGCCAUCCCGCGUGAAGGACGACUGCCUAUGGGUUGUAAACUCCUUUUGUAUAGGGAUAAACCUCUCCUCGUGAGGAGAGCUGAAGGUACUAUACGAAUAAGCACCGGCUAACUCCGUG